RNAcentral lists this ribosomal RNA (468 nucleotides) under uncultured bacterium. RNAcentral's name for it is "bacterial SSU rRNA". It matches the Rfam family "Bacterial small subunit ribosomal RNA", at positions 329 to 794 of the family's 1533-position model. The record is from RNAcentral.
GCCCAGACUCCUACGGGAGGCAGCAGUGAGGAAUAUUGGUCAAUGGGCGGAAGCCUGAACCAGCCAAGUCGCGUGAGGGAUUAAGGCCCUGCGGGUCGUAAACCUCUUUUGCCGGGGAGCAGAGGUCCGGACGUGUCCGGGCCGGGAGAGUACCCGGAGAAAAAGCAUCGGCUAACUCCGUGCCAGCAGCCGCGGUAAUACGGAGGAUGCGAGCGUUAUCCGGAUUUAUUGGGUUUAAAGGGUGCGUAGGCGGAACAUUAAGUCAGCGGUAAAAUCGAGGGGCUCAACCCCUUUAAGCCGUUGAAACUGGUGAUCUUGAGUGGGCGAGAAGUAUGCGGAAUGCGUGGUGUAGCGGUGAAAUGCAUAGAUAUCACGCAGAACUCCGAUUGCGAAGGCAGCAUACCGGCGCCCGACUGACGCUGAGGCACGAAAGCGUGGGGAUCGAACAGGAUUAGAUACCCUGGUAGG